This 274-nucleotide ribosomal RNA is filed under the name uncultured bacterium. RNAcentral describes it as "partial 16S ribosomal RNA". It matches the Rfam family "Bacterial small subunit ribosomal RNA", at positions 523 to 796 of the family's 1533-position model. The record is from RNAcentral.
AUACGGAGGGUGCAAGCGUUGUUCGGAAUUACUGGGCGUAAAGCGCGCGUAGGCGGUCUGUUAUGUCAGAUGUGAAAGUCCUCGGCUCAACCGGGGAAGUGCAUUUGAAACUGGCAGACUUGAGUACUGGAGGGGGUGGUGGAAUUCCCGGUGUAGAGGUGAAAUUCGUAGAUAUCGGGAGGAAUACCGGUGGCGAAGGCGACCACCUGGCCAGAUGCUGACGCUGAGGUGCGAAAGCGUGGGGAGCAAACAGGAUUAGAAACCCCAGUAGUCC